Molecule: long non-coding RNA, 507 nt
Filed under: Mytilus galloprovincialis (Mediterranean mussel)
Lineage: Eukaryota; Metazoa; Mollusca; Bivalvia; Mytilida; Mytilidae
Source: RNAcentral
CACAGAGAAAGAUGCAGGGUUUGGGAUAAAUAAAGGAAAGUGUUUAAUGAAAUAAUUCAAAACAACUUGGGUAUAUUUAUUAGCUGUACUUGCGAUACGAUCAACAUGUUUGUUUUGCUAUCUGGAAUCGAUGACACCAGGCAGGAUAUAACAAGGUUUCCACAGUUUACGUUGUUCUGAGUUUAGAAUUCAAGAAGACCAGUUCGACUAAACAGACACAGACUAAAGGUGAGAUUAAGUUAAAUUCUGAAUAAGAACUUUAAGCAGUGUUCCUGAAUUAGGAAUCAAGUGUUUAAUUAAUUAUAGCUGCUGUUCAUGGAGAAGCAUUGGUUGUAUACAAGAUGUACCAUUUCUAGACGGUGAAGCAUUGGAUACAUGCAAAGUAGUGGCUCAGACCAAAAAGUUCUACAUGCACAGGACCACAAGUAGAUAUUAAGCAGUUACCACAAGUAAAGCACUGGCUCAGACCAAGUAAAUAUUAAGCAGUGGUUACAAAUAUCGCACAGG